Molecule: small nucleolar RNA, 129 nt
Filed under: Nannospalax galili (Upper Galilee mountains blind mole rat)
Lineage: Eukaryota; Metazoa; Chordata; Mammalia; Rodentia; Spalacidae
Source: RNAcentral
AUUUUAAAGCACUCAAUGGGACUUUUACUCGUGACCCAUUCAGCCAUCAAGAAGAGACAGAGUAAAAUCACCACUUUUGGGUGAAGUGGCAACUUGUGUUGUUUUACUUCAGUUAGUGUCGUGACAAGA